Molecule: non-coding RNA, 386 nt
Rfam family: Bacterial RNase P class B
About the family: Ribonuclease P (RNase P) is a ubiquitous endoribonuclease, found in archaea, bacteria and eukarya as well as chloroplasts and mitochondria. Its best characterised activity is the generation of mature 5'-ends of tRNAs by cleaving the 5'-leader elements of precursor-tRNAs.
Source: Rfam
UGUAUGAGUCAAUUGCUGUUAAGUACUAGUACUUAAUAGAGGAAAGUCCAUGCUUGCACAUACUGAAAUGUAUGUAACGAUUUAGCUAACUUAAUCAAUAAAGUUAGGCACCAAAUUUAUUUUGGUGACGGAUAUAACAACUUCUAAGGUAAUUAUUACUAUGAAGAUUGUUAUGAACGGACCACAGAGACGAGUUAGAUGGAAACAUCUAAGUGAAACGCGGUAACCCCCUAAAGUAAGAAACCGUAAGUUAAUCCUGUAAUGGGAAUGGUAACGGGAAUGUGAUGAAUGGAAUUUAAAGUAACAUUCAUUAUGACACAAACAAUUGUGUAGAUAAAUAAUUGACACCUAAUUUUUAAAUUAGAUACAGAACAUGGCUUAUGAUU